RNAcentral lists this unclassified non-coding RNA (668 nucleotides) under Zea mays. Its description in RNAcentral is "misc RNA Zm00001eb296390". Lineage: Eukaryota; Viridiplantae; Streptophyta; Magnoliopsida; Poales; Poaceae. The record is from RNAcentral.
GGAAAUCGGAAGUAAAAUCAGAGGAGGCAGGGACAGAGGAGAAAUGGGAAGAGCCAGGGACCGGACCUUCUCUGGGAGGAGGCGAUGAAGCCGUCGACCUUGGGGGCAGCGAUGGUGGCGCCGAGCAGCAGGGCACCCACCACGAAUCCGGCGAUCUCACUGGACGUCAGCCCCUCCAUCUGCCCUGCACCAUCCAAAGCAAUUCCCCUCACUGGACUGGACUGGAUACGGAACUUGCAGCUCUACCGCAUACCAUCCAAAGCAAUGCUAAUUUUUUGCAUUGGCACUGUGCACUUGUACACAAACCGAACGACAGACCUACCUGCCGAGUGCCUUCUCUCGGCUUCUGCACGCCCACUCGCGCCGCCGUUCGUUGGACGACGAUGGAGAGGAUAAGAUUGGGCUCUGGGCCUUUUGAGGCUGCAUGUGGGCGGAAUGAGAUGGGCUGGCUGGGCCAACAUCCAGUUUGAGUUGUUGCAUUUGCAUCACGCAGUUGGAAAUAUUCUCUCAGCUGAUCAUGUCCAAGUUGUAUGCGAUGUCACUUAUCCAGCUCCCACUCAAAACAACGUCGUCUCUUACCGUUCUGUGCUUUCUCCUACUAUGAUUAUACAGGAGUUGAACAAGUUUGCAGGAGUCUGUCCAUUUAUCUGGUUUGAGUGCCAAAAGAA